UUUUGCGCCAGCGCCAAAAAGUCGACUCUGGAAUAGACAUCAACAACAACCAGAAUUUACAUUGACACCGUCACGAGCCAGUCCCCCAGACUUGGCCCGAAAACGAAGCCAGGCUGGGGAACCACAGUCUGUUGACAAACGAGCUUAAGAGCCCAGAAGUAAGCAAGAAUACUCAUUCAAUUCCUUUCCAAUAAGUUUAUGCUUGGCUGGAUCUCGGAAAAGGUUUCUGCUCGUCCGCUUGGGAUUAUUACUGAUGUUUGUCUUGAUGUCUUGCCUUGUCUAAUCCUCGUCGGAAACUGAGGGGAAUAUUGGAGGAGAAAGUUGCCUUUGUUAAGCGCUAAAGUUACACUUGGAUUCUAGAUGAGAUGCCGACGCGAUUCGCUGCCGCUGGAAUCUGAAACGGAUCGCCUGGGCUGACGGACCAACUGCGAAUGAAACGGGAAGCUAAGGCUGGCAGAGCCAGCAGCGAACAGACCGCCAAUUACGAAAGUGAAGCUGCCAAGGAGAGGUCCUUUUUUGCAGUCAAUUUGACAGGAGGGCGAGUCAAGCCAAAGGCAGUAACCACCCCCACCCACAUCCCACCACCCGCCCAAAGCCACAAACGGAAAAGCGAAAAACACAGCUGCGACGGGAAAAUGAAAAGCAGCGAGCGCCGAGAAUGCAGAAUCCAGAAUAGAGAAUCGAGAACGGAGAACGGAGAACGGAGCACCGAGAACCGGGCAAAGCAAAACGAACAAAAACAAACAAAAAAAAAAAGGAAACCAAACGAAAGUCGAAAAUUUACGAAAAGCUACCAAAUGUUACAUUUCAUCCCUCGAUGGUGGACCAAAAGCAGCCGACCAGCCACCCACCCGUCCACCACCCACCCAUUCCACAAUCGGCAGCGUGGUGGACACACACCAGCAAGGAGUCCCAAAAGAGAGAGAGAAAGAGAGUCGCGGGAGGAGAGCGAGGAGUGGCGGGUAACCAACCGGAAAACGCCCUUUUUUCAGUGUCUCCGUACUGAUGCGAUUACAGCAAAUGAGGGGACUUCCUACCGUCCACCAUUUUUGUUUUUCUCCCCUCAGCGCUCACACACACACACACACACACACACACACGUCAGCCGGCGCAGUGAGACUCAGCACGCACACUAGCGCACACGUCCUGUGGCUUUCGACAAUUCACCACAAAAUGUCAAGAAUGACGAAAAGCUAGCCGAGGAUGUAUUGGUAUGUGCAUGUGCUGCUGCUGUCCCGCUCGCACAGCUGCCUUUUCGCUCGCUUCCCUUCCGCUGUACUGCUCCUGUGCUAGCAAAUAGCCUUCAUCGGCAGAGAUGUUGAGAUCUCCUGGCUUCUCUCCUUUUUUCUAGGUUUUUUGCUCUUUGUCUGGUGGAAUCCGGCGCUUGUAGGCUGUCGGAUUAUUAGUUCUAAAGUCAGGAUCUCUUCUGCCGAAAGGGCGCUACAGUUGGGGUACAUUUGACUGGUUGAGUUAGCUUGAGUUCGCUGUUUGUUUGUUUUUUUGAAUUACUUCUCUAAAAUUGUUUAAAGCAAACAUAUAAUUUAGAUGAUAUAGAUGAUAUAGACAAACAAACUAUA
Drosophila gunungcola (fruit fly) is the source of this 1577-nucleotide long non-coding RNA. RefSeq lists it as uncharacterized. The transcript is spliced from 3 exons. Lineage: Eukaryota; Metazoa; Arthropoda; Insecta; Diptera; Drosophilidae. The record is from RefSeq and is a predicted model, not a curated record.